ACACAUCGUGGGCCUGUGGCAACUUCCUAAACUCCACAGUUUCGGCGCUGACGCUACGCGCGACCUGGCGGCUAGGGUUUGCGCUCGAUGGAGCACAUGAACAUCGUCGCCGGCCACUAGUCGCCGGACCGUCGCCGUGGCUUGCCGCGCAUCAAUCGAGUAUGAUUCUACCUGUAUACGGUCAUACGGAGUAUAUGGACCACGGUCAGAUGGGCAGCACGCCCGCACCGCCACACCCAAAUUCGCUAACUUCGUCAUGUGAACCAGAAUCAGAGAGGUCAUGGAGAGGAAGACACCACCGACAAGUAAUUUUCAAGCCAAUUGCUGUAAACUCUAACUCUACGGUUCAAGAUGAAAAUCCAACUGGGGAGAUAGAUGCCACAUAGCAACCUACUGAAUGUAAAAGAGUGCUCUUGCUUGCUAAAGGCACAGGCAUACACAAAUCUUUCCUCGUGCCAUUGUUUGUUCUGCAAGCACCUAGCCCUGUAAUCUCAUGGAUCAAGAGUGAAUAUGGGCUGUGGACUGCUUUUCUUGCGCUUGCAGUGCGUUUGUUCUUACCCUUUCCAGAUGAGCUAGAGCUUCCACUGUCAAUGAUGCUGGCGGUCAGCAUUGCUCCUUACCAGGUGAUGAAUGUGAGGUAUGUAACAUUCUCACCAGUUUGAAAGACAUUGGCAGUACUGCUGCAUAUGUCUUUGAUAAUUCAACCACUUGGUCAAUUGUCCGCUAGAUGAAAAGUGUCUAAAAAGAAAGGAAAUUAACUUGUAGAAGAACUUUUAAGCUGAGAAUUCAUUGCCUAGCUUAGCCAGUGCAACGUGAAAAAGGUAUAAGAGGAUCUAGCUUAAUCCAUGUGUAUGGUAGCAGAUCAUAUACUUUGCUUUUUUCAAUUUUCUAAAUUACAGUUUCACCCCUAGCCACAUUUGCGGGUAAAACAAUGUAGUUUGCGCAAGCAGCAGAUCUAGAGAAUCUUUUGUAGGGCGUGAGUUACUUGAUAGACAUCUAAUAAAAAGAGGCAUUUUCUUUCAGCUUGAUACAGAAUAUACCAGUGCUAUUGGGUGCUCUUUGGUACUACAAUUGCCUCACCCACUCUACAAAACCUUGAGUGUAUACGGUCUUUUGUUCUUCACUAUUACAUUAUUAAGGCUGCUAAUUUGUGCUAUGUACAGAUGAAAACACAUAAUGUGACAUAAUUGAUUCAUGUGACGAUCCAGUGUUCCCUCUGCUCUUUUUGUGUGAACUCUAGCUAGAAAAUUUAGCUGGGGUAUUUUUUUGCCACUUAUUAUUUGUUACAAAGAGUUGGGUGUUUCUAGACACAAAAUAUUUUGUUUACUGGUUUGUACCAAUGGGUUAGUUCCAUCUCAGGUUAAAUUAGUCAGUGUUGAUAAAAAAUGAAAUUUGGCCAUAUAGGUUGAUCGAUCAUUGAUGGUACAGAUGUGAAAAGCAACAAUUUUAUAUCCCACUGUGUUGGACCCAAAUACCUUCUGGAAAAAAAUUAUGAAGGGUGGGAUACUAGACCGCCAUGUAAUUUCAGUUAUAUCUUUAUAAAAUAGGUGGAAUUUUAGGUAUGGUCUGCUAUCCCCCCCCCCCCCCCCCCCCAACCCCCUCCCUAAUUUGGUUCUAUUUGUUUUUUAAGGUACCUAUUUAUUUUGAGUUUCUCUAUAUCAAACACAGAGGUUGAAUGUAUGGAUGUUUUUUUUGACGGGAGGUUGAAUGUAUGGCUUAGCACUACAUGUGGCUUGUUCUGCUCAAGUUAUUUCAGAUACAUGCCUCAGUUAAUCCUUUGCAGGAUCUUGAGGAGCUCUUCUGUGUUGUAGUGCUUUGAAGGUGAAGCACGUUCCUUGGAUUUUGCUCUGUUAUUGUUGUAAGAAGUAGUAUCUUUGUGCUUUUAGCAUUGAGAAUAUUCAAGGAACUACCUACUACGACAUCAUUUUCUAGGAAAUUAGGUCAUAACAAGAGACGAUGAAUCCGUUAUUUUCCUUGUUGUGGGUAGGGUCGAAUUUUGAAUGACCAAGCUUUUGUAUGAUUUUGAUUGACCAAGCUUGCUUGCUGCUUGCUUGUCAGUCAGGCUAUGUUGGUGGAUUUUAGAGAGAACUUGUCUUCGAACAAUACUAUCCAGAAGCAGCAAGGGAAAGACAACCAUUGCAUUACUACACUUAGAUAAUUUUGACUUGUUAGCUACACCGUUUGGAUGGUGCUACUUGUAGAAAAUUAUAGACAAUCAACCCUUCAAAAUUUACCGGACACAUCAUCCUGGAGUACAAGAUAUUUUUAUAACUAUGCCUACAGCUCAUGAUCUCUAUGCCUAAAUUUAUUAUUUGGUGGCAUUGUGAGG
Triticum aestivum (bread wheat) is the source of this 2329-nucleotide long non-coding RNA. RefSeq lists it as uncharacterized. The record is from RefSeq and is a predicted model, not a curated record. The transcript has 5 exons. NCBI's taxonomy places the organism in Eukaryota, Viridiplantae, Streptophyta, Magnoliopsida, Poales, Poaceae.